GAUGAACGCUGGCGGCGUGCCUAACACAUGCAAGUCGAACGGAGUCCAGCCUUUAAGGCCUUCGGGUCAAAGAGGGGAAGACUGAGUGGCGGACGGGUGAGUAACACGUGGGCAACCUGGCUCAUAGAGGGGGAUAACAGAGAGAAAUUUCUGCUAAUACCGCAUAAGCACACACUGCCGCAUGGCAGAGGGUGAAAAGAGAAUCGCUAUGAGAUGGACCCGCGUCUGAUUAGCCAGUUGGCAGGGUAAGAGCCUACCAAAGCGACGAUCAGUAGCCGAUCUGAGAGGAUGAACGGCCACAUUGGGACUGAGACACGGCCCAAACUCCUACGGGAGGCAGCAGUGGGGGAUAUUGCACAAUGGGGGGAACCCUGAUGCAGCGACGCCGCGUGAGCGAAGAAGUAUUUCGGUAUGUAAAGCUCUAUCAGCAGGGAAGAUAAUGACAGUACCUGAAUAAGAAGCCCCGGCUAACUACGUGCCAGCAGCCGCGGUAAUACGUAGGGGGCAAGCGUUAUCCGGAUUUACUGGGUGUAAAGGGAGCGUAGACGGAAUGGCAAGUCUGAAGUGAAAUGCCCGGGCUCAACCCGGGAACUGCUUUGGAAACUGUCGAUCUGGAGUGUUGGAGAGGUAAGUGGAAUUCCUGGUGUAGCGGUGAAAUGCGUAGAGAUCAGGAAGAACACCGGAGGCGAAGGCGGCUUACUGGACAAAGACUGACGUUGAGGCUCGAAAGCGUGGGAAGCAAACAGG
Molecule: ribosomal RNA, 747 nt
Filed under: uncultured Oribacterium sp.
Lineage: Bacteria; Bacillati; Bacillota; Clostridia; Lachnospirales; Lachnospiraceae
Description: bacterial SSU rRNA
Rfam family: Bacterial small subunit ribosomal RNA
Source: RNAcentral